GGAGCUUGGGCAAAGGCUGGGGCAAGAGGGGCGCCAGAGUCCAGCCGCGCAGGACGGAAAACCGUGGCCCGCCCCCUGCCGGCGGUGGUGCCCCAACUCUCUCCCCUGCCUGUAAAACCCGAUCGCAAUGGUUGCUUGAAUAGUCUUCUUUACUGUCUUUAACAAAGAGUUAUCCAAAUUCAGAAGAUCAUGUUAUUCUAAAAGUCUGUGGGACCUGGGGGCUAGAAACCAAUGUCCUCUGGAUUGCUGAGAAAAUUGCUUUUGAGGAAAGAUGUAGAAGCUGGUGGCUGCACCAGAAGAGGAUGUCUGAGCUCACACCCCACCUACAGGCCCACAUGAUUUGUCUUCUAUAUGGAUUGUGUCUUUAUCAGGCAAACAUUUAAAUUUAUAAUCUUAGAAAGCAAUUAGAUUUGAAACAAAAUCAAGUUCAAAACAAAACAAAACAAAGAACAUGGUACCAUAUGACAAAAAGUGAGUCAUA
This is a long non-coding RNA of Panthera uncia (snow leopard), 481 nucleotides long. RefSeq lists it as uncharacterized. NCBI's taxonomy places the organism in Eukaryota, Metazoa, Chordata, Mammalia, Carnivora, Felidae. The transcript has 4 exons. The record is from RefSeq and is a predicted model, not a curated record.